AUUGAACGCUGGCGGCAUGCUUUACACAUGCAAGUCGAACGGUAACAGGCCUUCGGGUGCUGACGAGUGGCGAACGGGUGAGUAAUGCAUCGGAACAUACCCAGUCGUGGGGGAUAACGUAGCGAAAGUUACGCUAAUACCGCAUACGUCCUGAGGGAGAAAGCGGGGGAUCGCAAGACCUCGCGCGAUUGGAGUGGCCGAUGUCAGAUUAGCUAGUUGGUGGGGUAAAGGCCCACCAAGGCGACGAUCUGUAGCGGGUCUGAGAGGAUGAUCCGCCACACUGGGACUGAGACACGGCCCAGGCUCCUACGGGAGGCAGCAGUGGGGAAUUUUGGACAAUGGGGGAAACCCUGAUCCAGCCAUGCCGCGUGCGGGAAGAAGGCCUCGGUGUAACG
Molecule: ribosomal RNA, 395 nt
Filed under: uncultured bacterium
Lineage: Bacteria
Description: bacterial SSU rRNA
Rfam family: Bacterial small subunit ribosomal RNA
Source: RNAcentral